UACGGGGGGAGCAAGCGUUGUUCGGAUUUACUGGGCGUAAAGGGCGCGUAGGCGGCGCGACAAGUCACUUGUGAAAUCUCUGGGCUUAACUCAGAGCGGCCAAGUGAUACUGUCGUGCUAGAGUGCGGAAGGGGCAACUGGAAUUCUCGGUGUAGCGGUGAAAUGCGUAGAUAUCGUAAGGAAGACCAGUGGCGAAGGCGGGUCUCUGGACAGUUCCUGACGCUGAGGCACGAAGGCCAGGGGAGCAAACGGG
RNAcentral lists this ribosomal RNA (253 nucleotides) under uncultured bacterium. RNAcentral's name for it is "partial 16S ribosomal RNA". It matches the Rfam family "Bacterial small subunit ribosomal RNA", at positions 524 to 776 of the family's 1533-position model. The record is from RNAcentral.